AGCUCCAAUAGCGUAUAUUAAAGUUGUUGCAGUUAAAAAGCUCGUAGUUGGAUUUGUGGUUGUCACGAGGGAUCCUGCAUUCGUGCGGGUAUCUCAUUGUGUCGCCAUCCUUGGGUGGAAUCUGUGUGGCAUUAGGUUGUCGUGCAGGGGAUGCCCAUCGUUUACUGUGAAAAAAUUAGAGUGUUCAAAGCAGGCUUAUGCCGUUGAAUAUAUUAGCAUGGAAUAAUAAGAUAGGACCUUGGUACUAUUUUGUUGGUUUGCGCACCAAGGUAAUGAUUAAUAGGGACAGUUGGGGGUAUUCGUAUUCCAUUGUCAGAGGUGAAAUUCUUGGAUUUUUGGAAGACGAACUACUGCGAAAGCAUUUACCAAGGAUGUUUUCAUUAAUCAAGAACGAAAGUAG
Molecule: ribosomal RNA, 400 nt
Filed under: phytoplankton environmental sample
Lineage: Eukaryota
Description: partial small subunit ribosomal RNA
Rfam family: Eukaryotic small subunit ribosomal RNA
Source: RNAcentral